AGAGUUGGAGAGAAAACUGGAAGCUGAGUAGGAUCAACAGCAUCAGAAGCAGCCAGGAAGCCAGGGCACUGCUCUCUAUGUAAACUUAUAUUCAUGUGCCCAAGGAAUCAUGGGUAAAUAAUGCCAUGUGACCACAGAGGCAGUUACUGCGAUUGCUUUACAAGUCAGAGCCACUGGAAGCGGAUGGCAGAUCAGUCUACCUAUCAGGUUUCCAACCUUAUCUGCUCCCAAGAAAGAGCUGUUGAUGCCCUAAGCUGGAAAGGCAUGGCAGGAGAUUGGAGGAAAACAGGUAGAAAAUAGAAGAAAGCUUAUAUAGAAGCCAGUUGUUCCCACGGAAACCUGUAGUUAAUAGAGUGGCCUUGUUACGUUAGUGCAUGUAUAUUGUAAUGUCUGUAAGAAGGAGUCAGAAUGAUGUGACAGGGUUUAGAGAACUGGAGUAAUAAGUAUAAAAUACCAGACACAACUAGGUGUGAAGAGUGUCUCAUUAAAUAUAUAAAAUUUAUAUAUGGAAUUAAGCUAUAGAACAGAGAGGUCAUUAGACCCAACAAACUUUAAUUCUCCAGAUGCCUUAGGUUAUUCUUAUUUGCUUUUAGCUCUCAACGCCCUGAAAGAAGUACCUGGAAUACAGCAGGAGUCAUAAACAUUUGGAAGUGAAGCACCUAGCUUGUCCCUACUUGGUGAAGACCCGAUAUAUCACUAACAACCAUAUUGACUGAGUCAUAUAGAAGCAGGUCAACCAUGCGACUCUCCCAGCUUAGAGAAGCCUUUGUGAAUUUUCAUAUUUCGUGCAGUAGUCAGACAGUGGCAGACACUGGGUCUGGGUCUUAGGCAGUGAACAGUGACAGUGUUGCACAUAGUUGCUUGCACACAUUUAGAACACGCCUGAAUAACACCCACAAUGCUGCUUCUGCAGAGUAGUCUGUCCAACCUACCAUUGUCUCUGUCUUGCCCUGAGUACUUGCUAAAUACUGUUCACUCCAUCAUCUUUCGUCAUUGAUGCUGGGACUAAAUAUAAAGGUUCCGGGUUCAGCCAAUCUCAGACCCUUCUGUCCUCCCAUGUCUGGAGAUGUUGGCACCAUUUCAAAGCCUUGUAUGAGAAACCAGUUUGUCCCCAGUUCCUCAACCUCAGUGCAUGGGAAAGGCCUGAGAUGGGCAGGCUGCUUGCUCUACUGGAGCCUUUCUGGCAUUCACUCUGCAGAGAGAAAGAGCAGCCUCAUUGUACGCAACCACCUUCCACCUGCACCUGACUGCAAAGUAGCCUAAUGGUCAGUGCAGCCGGAGUGUCUUUGCUGGGAGCCAGCUGCACUUGGGGAUUGUGUGUUCUUGGCACACAGCAGACUUCUGAGCCUCUUGAACUGCCUCCAAGAAUGAAUCUCGUUAGUCUACAAAAUAUAUUUAUUUGGUAACUAUGCUACUGUGUGUGUAUGAGUCUGAUACAAUGCAAACCUUGAAAUGUCUUACUAAAAGGACUUAUGAAUUCAUAGGAAAUUGGAUCCAACUUCAGAAUAGCGAAUUAUGUUGCUGGUCAAUAAAGUUGCCCAGCCACAAGGGACCAGAGAAAAACCUUCCCCCCCAUCCCUUUUUUGACACCCUUUCCCUGCCUAAUUGCCCUACUAGAUUCUAACUGAUGCAGAGUGAAGAAAGGUGCUGACAGAGUACAUGUGCAUAAAGAUUGAAGAGGGAAAUGACCUCUGGGGCAAUCAGUCGAGUUUCUUCCCAUGGCUGUGAUCCUAUCAUGCCUGAUUCCCAAACUUGCAAUUUCUAACAAUUUCGAUUCUUGGAGUUUCUGAGCAAUUUGUUAAAUGCCUGUUCAACACAGACAGAUAUUUAUUUUCAGCCUUGGCUUGGAAAUGCCUACAAACUGAUUCAUGUUGGUGGUCGUUCUGACACUUCUGUGAAUUGGUUGAAUAAAUAUGAUUUUAGAAUUUCACAGU
This 1934-nucleotide long non-coding RNA is filed under the name Rattus norvegicus (Norway rat). RNAcentral's name for it is "long non-coding RNA NONRATT028896". The record is from RNAcentral. Lineage: Eukaryota; Metazoa; Chordata; Mammalia; Rodentia; Muridae.